This 67-nucleotide transfer RNA is filed under the name uncultured Eubacterium sp. It matches the Rfam family "tRNA". From Rfam's summary of the family: Transfer RNA (tRNA) molecules are approximately 80 nucleotides in length. Lineage: Bacteria; Bacillati; Bacillota; Clostridia; Eubacteriales; Eubacteriaceae. The record is from RNAcentral.
GGAGUGGCACAGUUGGUAGCGCAAUUGAUUCGUAAUCAAUAGGUUCGUGGGUUCGAGUCCCAUCUCC